RNAcentral lists this ribosomal RNA (343 nucleotides) under Clostridioides difficile. RNAcentral's name for it is "bacterial SSU rRNA". It matches the Rfam family "Bacterial small subunit ribosomal RNA", at positions 167 to 528 of the family's 1533-position model. The record is from RNAcentral. Lineage: Bacteria; Bacillati; Bacillota; Clostridia; Peptostreptococcales; Peptostreptococcaceae.
UACGGGAUAAUAUAUUUGAGAGGCAUCUCUUGAAUAUCAAAGGUGAGCCAGUACAGGAUGGACCCGCGUCUGAUUAGCUAGUUGGUAAGGUAACGGCUUACCAAGGCGACGAUCAGUAGCCGACCUGAGAGGGUGAUCGGCCACAUUGGAACUGAGACACGGUCCAAACUCCUACGGGCGGCAGCAGUGGGGAAUAUUGCACAAUGGGCGAAAGCCUGAUGCAGCAACGCCGCGUGAGUGAUGAAGGCCUUCGGGUCGUAAAACUCUGUCCUCAAGGAAGAUAAUGACGGUACUUGAGGAGGAAGCCCCGGCUAACUACGUGCCAGCAGCCGCGGUAAUACGU